GAUGAACGCUAGCGGCAGGCUUAACACAUGCAAGUCGAGGGGCAGCACUGGUAGCAAUACCUGGUGGCGACCGGCGCAAGGGUGCGUAACGCGUGAGCAACAUGCCCGUAUCAGGGGAAUAAUCCAGGGAAACUUGGUCUAAUACCCCAUAGUAAAUAUUAAAGGCAUCUUUAAUAUUUUAAAGCUUUGGUGGAUACGGAUUGGCUCGCGUGACAUUAGCUAGAUGGUAAGGUAACGGCUUACCAUGGCUACGAUGUCUAGGGGUUCUGAGAGGAAGAUCCCCCACACUGGAACUGAGACACGGUCCAGACUCCUACGGGAGGCAGCAGUGAGGAAUAUUGGACAAUGGAUGGAAAUCUGAUCCAGCCAUGCCGCGUGCAGGAAGACGGCCCUAUGGG
RNAcentral lists this ribosomal RNA (398 nucleotides) under uncultured bacterium. RNAcentral describes it as "bacterial SSU rRNA". It matches the Rfam family "Bacterial small subunit ribosomal RNA", at positions 28 to 422 of the family's 1533-position model. The record is from RNAcentral.